Molecule: non-coding RNA, 337 nt
Filed under: Pan troglodytes (chimpanzee)
Lineage: Eukaryota; Metazoa; Chordata; Mammalia; Primates; Hominidae
Also listed under: 1 other name
Source: RNAcentral
UGUGUGAAUCUCCAGAAAAGGUACUUUGGGCCUGAUUUGGAAUGUUAUAGUUUAUACUUACCGAGGAAGCCACCCUUGCUUUCAGGAUGGAUUGUUAGCAGUUCCGUUGGCCUCAGACACCAACUUGAACUGAUCGUCUUGGACAUGUGUCUCCAGUGAAAAUCUGUGACUUUGACUUGGGCAGUGGGAUGAAACUGAACAACUCCUGUACCCCCAUAACCACACCAGAGCUGACCACCCCAUGUGGCUCUGCAGAAUACAUGGCCCCUGAGGUAGUGGAGGUCUUCACGGACCAGGCCACAUUCUACGACAAGCGCUGUGACCUGUGGAGCCUGGG